Molecule: ribosomal RNA, 766 nt
Filed under: Nematoda environmental sample
Lineage: Eukaryota; Metazoa; Nematoda
Description: SSU rRNA
Rfam family: Eukaryotic small subunit ribosomal RNA
Source: RNAcentral
CCUACUCGGAUAACUGUGGCAAUUCUAGAGCUAAUACGUGCGAAAAAGCUCGUUUCGCAAGAUUCGAGCGCAUUUAUUAGAAUAAAAACCAAUCGGGCCCAUAAAGCUCGUAAUUUGGUGAAUCUGAAUAACUUUGCCGAUCGCACGGUCCUAGUACCGGCGACGUAUCUUUCAAGUGUCUGCCUUAUCAACUUUCGAUGGUAGGUUAUACGCCUACCAUGGUAGUAACGGGUAACGGAGAAUAAGGGUUCGACUCCGGAGAGGGAGCCUGAGAAACGGCUACCACAUCCAAGGAAGGCAGCAGGCGCGCAAAUUACCCACUUCCAGAACGGAGAGGUAGUGACGAAAAAUAACGAGACAGUCCUCUUCGAGGUCUGUCAUCGGAAUGGGUACAAUUUAAAUCCUUUAACGAGGAUCUAUUGGAGGGCAAGUCUGGUGCCAGCAGCCGCGGUAAUUCCAGCUCCAAUAGCGUAUAUUAAAGUUGUUGCGGUUAAAACGCUCGUAGUUGGAUCUGCGGCCUCGGAGAACGGUCCCCCGAAAGGGCGGUCACUGUUACUCCAAGCCUAAAUAUCUAGUCUACUCUACGGUGCUCUUAACCGAGUGCCUAGAGUGACUGGAACGUUUACUUUGAAAAAAUUAGAGUGCUUAAAGCAGGCGAAAUAGCCUGAAUAAGGUGCAUGGAAUAAUGGAAUAGGACCUCGGUUCUAUUUUGUUGGUUUUCGGAGCCCGAGGUAAUGAUUAAGAGGAACAGACGGGGGCAUUCGUA